This 292-nucleotide ribosomal RNA is filed under the name uncultured bacterium. RNAcentral describes it as "partial 16S ribosomal RNA". The record is from RNAcentral.
GGACUACUAGGGUUUCUAAUCCUGUUUGCUCCCCACGCUUUCGCGCCUCAGCGUCAAUUACAGGCCAGAUGGCCGCCUUCGCCACCGGUGUUCUUCCCAAUAUCUACGAAUUUCACCUCUACACUGGGAAUUCCGCCAUCCUCUCCUGCAUUCCAGCGCCGCAGUAUCAAACGCAAUUCCCAGGUUGAGCCCGGGGAUUUCACGCCUGACUUACAGCACAGCCUACGCGCCCUUUACGCCCAGUAAUUCCGAACAACGCUAGCCCCCUUCGUAUUACCGCGGCUGCUGGCAC